UUUGUUAGUGUAAUACCCAAUUUUUUCCCGACCCAUAAUAAACUAAUAAAAUAAAAAAUAAAAGUCUAGUUUUUUUACAAACCCAAAUAAUAAUAAAUCCAAUAUUACAUUCAGCCUACAAAUCCAACUAGCCCAAAUACCCACUAAACCCAAUUAACUCAAGCCCAAACCUAAUCCAAAACCCAAAUUUGCCUAAGCCCAAAUAUCAGAAUCCAUACCCAAAUACGUAGCCCAAAUCAUUUUAACUUAAACUACCCAAAACUAACCCGAUUUGGCCCAACAAGCCCAAACCCAGAUAACCCUAAGCAGUUUCUAGAAACCCUAGCCUGUUGCCCCAACGCCGCAGCAGCUCCAACCCCUCACACGUGCGCCCCCUCCGUUGCGCCUCCGUGCGUGUGCUCCAGCUGGCUACAGACGCAACAAACAAGCAAGCAAAGCAAGGCAAUAACAUAAAAGAAAAAAUGAGAAUAGCAGCAGUGAUAAAAUAACAAAAAUAAUAAUUUCUGUAAUUUUUUUUUGUUUUAUUCGGCUAUAUAAAGCCGAUUGAUUCAUUUGUAAAGGGAUCUUUUUUACGCAUACAAAAAUAAAAAAUAUUCAGAGAAAUCGAAACAAAAAGAUUUGAAAGGUGAUUACUGAUCUAUUUUUCCUUUUUUUUUUCCUUUUUUUUUUGGAUUUUUUAUCUCAUUAUUCGUGUGCAAAAUAAAAGAAAAAGAGGAGUUAAAGGGUGAGAGUUUACCUGGCUUGCCAGAUUGUCACUCGCUUCGUCGCAAUCGGAGCCGGGCGAUGGUUCGAAAGCCUCCGAACAACCAUUGUCGAACGGCACUGAGGACUAUUAGGGUUCUUUAGGUUUUUUUAGAAAAGUGAUAGGAGGCUGUUAGCUUAGGUUUUAUUUUAGUUUAUAUACUAUGAAGGAAACGGCACCGUUUUAAGCAUGCUUCAGUAGCUUUAAAAACGACGCCGUUUAGAAGCUCAGACCCGUGCGGUGACCCGACCUAGGGCAGGAUCCGUGCAAUUUGGUUCAAGGGUUUAUUUGCGCC
Molecule: long non-coding RNA, 1037 nt
Filed under: Gossypium barbadense (sea-island cotton)
Lineage: Eukaryota; Viridiplantae; Streptophyta; Magnoliopsida; Malvales; Malvaceae
Description: long non-coding RNA (GBAR_LNC021910)
Source: RNAcentral